This 386-nucleotide ribosomal RNA is filed under the name uncultured bacterium. Its description in RNAcentral is "bacterial SSU rRNA". It matches the Rfam family "Bacterial small subunit ribosomal RNA", at positions 29 to 417 of the family's 1533-position model. The record is from RNAcentral.
AUUGAACGCUGGCGGAAUGCUUUACACAUGCAAGUCGAACGGCAGCACGGGGGCAACCCUGGUGGCGAGUGGCGAACGGGUGAGUAAUACAUCGGAACGUGCCCAAUCGUGGGGGAUAACGUAGCGAAAGCUACGCUAAUACCGCAUACGAUCUACGGAUGAAAGCGGGGGAUCGCAAGACCUCGCGCGAAUGGAGCGGCCGAUGGCAGAUUAGGUAGUUGGUGGGGUAAAGGCUCACCAAGCCGACGAUCUGUAGCUGGUCUGAGAGGACGACCAGCCACACUGGGACUGAGACACGGCCCAGACUCCUACGGGAGGCAGCAGUGGGGAAUUUUGGACAAUGGCGCAAGCCUGAUCCAGCCAUGCCGCGUGAGUGAAGAAGGCCU